UGAUAGGCAGCUGCAGGUGCCUCUG
RNAcentral lists this non-coding RNA (25 nucleotides) under Mus musculus (house mouse). Lineage: Eukaryota; Metazoa; Chordata; Mammalia; Rodentia; Muridae. The record is from RNAcentral.